UCCGUAGGUGAACCUGCGGAAGGAUCAUUAAAGAAAUGCGGCGGAGGGGCCCCA
Molecule: ribosomal RNA, 54 nt
Filed under: Trichocladium griseum
Lineage: Eukaryota; Fungi; Ascomycota; Sordariomycetes; Sordariales; Chaetomiaceae
Description: partial 18S ribosomal RNA
Source: RNAcentral